GCAUGAUACAAAUACAUCAAAAAUGUAAUGUACAGUCUGCGCGCUCUACUCUUAACCCCGAGAGGCAAGCGGCGAUACUUUCUCUCGCUAAACUGUUUGCGGGUAGUUUUCCCGCGCCCUGCGCCGUAACGUCCUGUUUGUUUUGGCCUAACUUCGCUACUUUUACCAUGUUUAUCGCAUUUCGACUUUGUGCUGCUAAGUGAUUGUAUUGAGAGUGAAAUUUUCUGUAAAUUGAUUUUAUAAAAUUGAUAAUUAACUUUGUCAUAAAUGUGACUAAACCAUCAUGUUGAUAAAAUUAUAAUAAAUGAACUGCUCAGUAAAAUGUGUGAUUUUUAAAACUGUCAAAAAUUCUUGAUAAAUGUAAAAUAAUUGAUGCGAAUACUAAAUUAUCAACACAACAUAAAAUAUUCGUAGAAACUCAAAACACAGUUACGAGAGCUUAAUUAUAAAUUUAUGGAUUUAGUUCGGAUUUAACGCAAUUUCAAUGCCCAAACACAAAUAACAAUCCAGCAACAAUUCUAACGUUCGUCAAUAAAACUUGAAACAAUCGAAUCUGGCAUUAAUUUAAUUAUUAAUUGUACCACAACAGACGAGACAAAGGAGCGUCAUCUACGUCGACGCUCGCAUUCAAUUAACGAGAGACAACCCUAGAACAAUAGCUAAUAAAACUUUUGUACAAAAAUCUAUCGGUAUGUUUUCCGUACUGGCGUUUGAGGAGUAAAACUUUUGUCUUCAUUUAAUCUGGGGCGCCCGGCUGUGUUCGCGGGCAUUCGCGCCGCGGCCGUCUACGCGAGCGGUCUACGAGGCCCUCGCCGCGCUACGCCGUAGUCAACCGCCGUGCUACGAUCGUGAAACUUUGUGGAUUGUUUGUGAGUGAAAUGUUGGUGUUUGCUGUUUGAAUCCCGAGUUUGUGCACAACGCGGGCGCCGCCGGCCAUGACGCGCGCGGCGUUGUUCACCGUACUGCUCGCUGUUUCUGCUGCGCCCGCAUGGAGCCAGCUGAUGUUCCUGAUGGAGCCGCCAGCACGCUUGGCGUUCUCCAACAGUACCGGCGCCCGGGUGGCCUGUGCAGCGCACGGCACGCCCCCGCCUGUCAUGUCCUGGUUAGGAGAGGAUGGGGCUCCGCUCACCGAUAUUCCUGGCUUGAGGUAAGUCAUAGAUUAACAUAUUUUAUCAGCACUUUUUUGUUGCAUUUUAACAGUCCAUUGAGUUCAUUCAGUUAGUUAUUGGUUGGUGUUUAUAGUUAUAAAGAUUUGUUCUAUAAUAUGUAUGCUAGAUAUAAGGUAUUUAUCUAUGGUUCAUUAGUUGUGAGAAAUACAAAUAAUUCAUUUCAUUUGUACUUCUUCACUCAACCUAGAGGAUUGCUCUUUACAGCAACCAUAUCGUAUUACAUAUUAUUAAACAUUGGCUGUUUCACUUCUUAUGCUUCGUGUUAAUAAAAUACUAAAUAUAAUUAUGAUGAGUUUAUAGUUUGAGAUCAAUGUAAGUACAUGUUUGGUACCACCACCGGCGCUUAGUAUUGACUGCAAAUGAACCAAUUGCAAAAUGUAAUACAUUUUCAUUUGUUCAAUAAAUCUUAAACUUGACACAAAUUCCUUAACCAAUGGCUAAAGUGAUAAAUGCACAGAAGUUCAAAGCGGGCUAGCUUGUGUGUAACCCCCAACUGGGCUAUUACCACUCGCAAUACAAACACGAUUUCCGAACAGAAAUAAGCAGAGGCAGUAAGGAAAAGUAAACUGUUAGUUGCAGUAAAGAAAGUUAGUAACAGCAGAUUAAUCAUUUGCGGAAAAUGUAUGUUAAACACAUUGUUGUAUAUGUUGGACAUAGCUCAUAGCAACUUUGUCCACAAUCCUAUUUCGUCACCUUCUUAAAUCAUCCACAAUGCUAUGUCAUAUAAUUACUAAAUCAUUAAAAUGGUCUAGACC
Molecule: long non-coding RNA, 1924 nt
Organism: Cydia pomonella (codling moth)
Lineage: Eukaryota; Metazoa; Arthropoda; Insecta; Lepidoptera; Tortricidae
Exons: 3
Source: RefSeq, a predicted model, not a curated record